RNAcentral lists this transfer RNA (63 nucleotides) under Elaphe bimaculata (Chinese leopard snake). RNAcentral's name for it is "tRNA-Pro". RNAcentral also lists the same sequence under 1 other name. Lineage: Eukaryota; Metazoa; Chordata; Lepidosauria; Squamata; Colubridae. The record is from RNAcentral.
AUCAAAGAAGGACUACCCAUCUCUAGCCCCCAAAGCCAGUAUUUUACUUAAACUACUCUUUGA